Molecule: long non-coding RNA, 225 nt
Filed under: Mytilus galloprovincialis (Mediterranean mussel)
Lineage: Eukaryota; Metazoa; Mollusca; Bivalvia; Mytilida; Mytilidae
Source: RNAcentral
GGGGGGGAAUGUUAUUGUAGCUUCGCUUCAAGAUUUACAGGAUCAUCAAUAUAUAGUAUCUGCAGUUCAGGCUGUAGCAGUAUUUGUAGCAAUUUUUUUCGUAGUAAAAUCGUCUGCUCUUAUAUUUCCAUUGUCAGGCAACAAAGCACUAAAACUAACUGUCAAAUGAAUUGAAUGUUUUAGGAAACUUUAUACUUCCAUUGUCAGGCAACAACGCACUUUAAC